UACAGAGGAGCCAAGCGUUGUCCGGAUUGACUGGGCGUAAAGCGCACGCAGGCGGCAUCGCGCGUGGGGUGUGAAAUCUGGCCGCUUAACGGCCAGGCGCCAUCCCAUACGGCGAGGCUGGAGCGAUGCAGAGGUCGGUGGAAUUGCCGGUGUAGUGGUGGAAUGCGUAGAUAUCGGGAGGAACACCAGUGGCGAAGGCGGUUGCCUGGAGCUUUGCUGACGCUGAGGCGCGAAAGCGUGGGGAGCGAUCCGG
RNAcentral lists this ribosomal RNA (253 nucleotides) under uncultured bacterium. Its description in RNAcentral is "partial 16S ribosomal RNA". It matches the Rfam family "Bacterial small subunit ribosomal RNA", at positions 524 to 776 of the family's 1533-position model. The record is from RNAcentral.